GUGACUUUGAAAGGCCUACUGAGUCAAACCUCACCCUGAAAACCUUUGUGCUAUAGAGGCUAAACCUGAGCUUUGGUGUGUGAAAGGUUCCAAGAAUCAGUAAAUAAGGGAGUUUCACAUUUUUCAUUGUUUCCAUGAAAUGGGAACAAACAUACAUUUAUAAAUAGAAAAAAAAAUGUUUUCUUUACAACAAAUAAUGCACAGAAAAAUGCAGCCUAUAAUUUGCUAGUUAGAAAGGCGGUCAAAGAAGUAAGAUGGCUGAAAUUUACAUAAGUAAUAUUUCAUAAUCUUAGAAUUCUCUCAAAGCAUGUGAAAUAGGAAGAAGGAAGUUCUUGCCCAGAAUCUUAGGAAAUCACCACUGUUCGGUUAUAAUCACUGCCUCCUGAAUCGUUGAGGAGUCUUUU
This 404-nucleotide long non-coding RNA is filed under the name Homo sapiens (human). The record is from RNAcentral. Lineage: Eukaryota; Metazoa; Chordata; Mammalia; Primates; Hominidae.